Molecule: long non-coding RNA, 690 nt
Filed under: Sorghum bicolor (sorghum)
Lineage: Eukaryota; Viridiplantae; Streptophyta; Magnoliopsida; Poales; Poaceae
Description: long non-coding RNA (SBIC_LNC012830)
Source: RNAcentral
CUGAGGGCAUGGUGGCUUGGGUACCAAUCUAGCCUAUCUAGAAAGAACAGCUGCUGCCGCUUUAGUGCUGAAACAAGUCAAAUGAAAGUCACAUCUUGUUAAAUAACAGUUAGCAUUUGGUGUCAAAUGAAGCUAAGUUCAUAUUCAUCAUAGGAAUAGUAGAUUCGAUGUUACUAGGAAACAAAUUCAGUUUUCUACCAUGAUAGAAUGUUCACAAAAAUACAUGUAAGAAUGUUCACGGUUCCAAGAAAAUGGAGAUAUGUACCUGUAGCUUGCCACAAUAAGAGCUUGUCAUGAUCUGCACAUUUAAAUGAAAUUCAGAAAGCACAAUUUUCUGCCUUUAGGAGACAAUAUGGAGUCAGCACUGACAUUGAAAUUAAGUGUUUGCAUCAAGUAUUCAGUCUAGGUCAGAUUAUGAUGUGGAAACGAUUUGGUAGUACAAGUCAAUAGCUUGAAACAAUAAGCAGGGCGGUCACCUCGUGGUGGUGGGAGGGGGGUAGGGGAUCAGAUUUUUCUCCACGGGGAAAAGCAAGGCGGGAUCGAGAGCGAUCGAUUGAUGGGGAUAGUCCGCCUCAAAUUGGGCACAAGCAGCGAACUGGAUCUUGUGAUCCGGAGAGGAGUAGCAGCAAGCGCGAUUGGAGCGCGAUGCAAGAACAAUCGCGAGAUUUUGAUUUCUCGCAGCAGCUCAGC